GGAAGCGUGCCUGAAAAAGGACUACCUUGAUAGAGUAGACAUGGGAACCACAAACCCCGCUCCCA
RNAcentral lists this transfer RNA (65 nucleotides) under Daboia russelii (Russell's viper). Its description in RNAcentral is "tRNA-Ile". The record is from RNAcentral. Lineage: Eukaryota; Metazoa; Chordata; Lepidosauria; Squamata; Viperidae.